AGAGUUUGAUCAUGGCUCAGGAUGAACGCUAGCGAUAGGCCUAACACAUGCAAGUCGAGGGGCAUCACAUGAAGUAGCAAUACGGAUGGUGGCGACCGGCGCACGGGUGAGUAACGCGUAUGCAACCUGCCUACAACAGGGGGAUAACCCGUUGAAAGACGGACUAAUACCCCAUAACACAGGGGUCCCGCAUGGGAAUAUUUGUUAAAGAUUUAUCGGUUGUAGAUGGGCAUGCGUUCCAUUAGCUAGCUGGUGAGGUAAGGGCUCACCAAGGCAACGAUGGAUAGGGGAACUGAGAGGUUUAUCCCCCACACUGGUACUGAGACACGGACCAGACUCCUACGGGAGGCAGCAGUGAGGAAUAUUGGUCAAUGGGCGCAAGCCUGAACCAGCCACGUCGCGUGAAGGAAGACGGCCCUACGGGUUGUAAACUUCUUUUGUAAGGGAAUAAAGUGCAGUACGCGUACUGUUUUGCAUGUACCUUACGAAUAAGGAUCGGCUAACUCCGUGCCAGCAGCCGCGGUAAUACGGAGGAUCCGAGCGUUAUCCGGAUUUAUUGGGUUUAAAGGGUGCGCAGGCGGGAGAUUAAGUCGGCGGUGAAAUUUUGCAGCUCAACUGUAAAAGUGCCUUCGAAACUGGUUUUCUUGAGUGUAGAUGAAGUAGGCGGAAUUUGUGGUGUAGCGGUGAAAUGCAUAGAUAUCACGAGGAACUCCGAUUGCGCAGGCAGCUUACUAAGC
This 737-nucleotide ribosomal RNA is filed under the name uncultured bacterium. RNAcentral describes it as "bacterial SSU rRNA". It matches the Rfam family "Bacterial small subunit ribosomal RNA", at positions 8 to 734 of the family's 1533-position model. The record is from RNAcentral.